UGGUUCUGGCAUCGAUGAAGAACGCAGCGAAAUGCGAUAAGUAAUGUGAAUUGCAGAAUUCAGUGAAUCAUCGAAUCUUUGAACGCACAUUGCGCCCUGUGGUAUUCUGCAGGGCAUGCCUGUUCGAGCGUCAUUACAACCACUCAAGCUUGGCUUGGUAUUGGAGCCUGCGAGAUCGCAGCCCCUAAAAUCAGUGGCGGUGCCGGUUGGCUCUACGCGUAGUAAAUCUUUUCGCGACAGAGUUCCUUCCGGUAGCUCGCCAGAACCCUCUAUUUUUUUAGGUUGACCUCGGAUCAGGUAGGGAUACCCGCUGA
This 314-nucleotide unclassified non-coding RNA is filed under the name uncultured fungus. RNAcentral's name for it is "partial contains 5.8S ribosomal RNA and internal transcribed spacer 2". The stretch from base 1 to 133 matches the Rfam family "5.8S ribosomal RNA", at positions 22 to 154 of the family's 154-position model. The record is from RNAcentral. Lineage: Eukaryota; Fungi.